GCUCCCAUAGCUUAGCCCAAA
Molecule: transfer RNA, 21 nt
Filed under: Crax alberti
Lineage: Eukaryota; Metazoa; Chordata; Aves; Galliformes; Cracidae
Also listed under: 3 other names
Description: partial tRNA-Phe
Source: RNAcentral